This is a non-coding RNA of Schistosoma haematobium, 45 nucleotides long. The record is from Rfam. Lineage: Eukaryota; Metazoa; Platyhelminthes; Trematoda; Strigeidida; Schistosomatidae.
AUCCAGUUGACCAGUCCUAAAAAGAACGAAAUGUGCAUCCUGGAU